RNAcentral lists this small RNA (83 nucleotides) under Marmota monax (woodchuck). The record is from RNAcentral. Lineage: Eukaryota; Metazoa; Chordata; Mammalia; Rodentia; Sciuridae.
CUUGGGUGUGGUGGUGCAUGCCUGUAAUCCCAGCAGCUUGGAAGGCUGAGGCAGGAAGAUUGUGAGUUCCAAGCCAGCCUCAG